RNAcentral lists this ribosomal RNA (1461 nucleotides) under metagenome. RNAcentral's name for it is "bacterial SSU rRNA". It matches the Rfam family "Bacterial small subunit ribosomal RNA". The record is from RNAcentral.
AGAGUUUGAUCCUGGCUCAGAAUGAACGCUGGCGGCAUGGAUUAGGCAUGCAAGUCGAACGAUGAAGCAGUGCUUGCACUGCGAAUUAGUGGCGAAAGGGUGAGUAACACGUGAGUCAUCUGCCUGUAGGUAGCGGAUAGCCCAGCGAAAGCUGGAUUAAUACGUUAUGUGGAUCUUCGGAUCUAAAGAUUUAUCGCCUACAGAUGAGCUCGCGGACCAUUAGUUAGUUGGUAGGGUAACGGCCUACCAAGACGAUGACGGUUAGGUGGUCUGAGAGGAUGGUCACCCACACUGGGACUGAGACACUGCCCAGACUCCUACGGGAGGCUGCAGUCGAGAAUCUUCCGCAAUGGGCGAAAGCCUGACGGAGCGAUGCCGCAUGGAUGAUGAAGGCCUUCGGGUUGUAAAGUCCUGUCACCCGGGAAUAUAAUGAAGGUACCGGGAGAGGAAGUCACGGCUAACUACGUGCCAGCAGCCGCGGUAAUACGUAGGUGGCGAGCGUUAUUCGGAUUUAUUGGGCGUAAAGGGUUCGUAGGGGGCUUAUUAAGUCAGAUGUGAAAUUUCGGGGCUCAACCCCGAACCUGCAUUUGAAACUGACAAGCUAGAGUAUAGGAGGGGGAAGUGGAAUUCCUGGUGUAGCGGUGGAAUGCGUAGAUAUCAGGAGGAACAUCACAAGCGAAGGCAGCUUCCUGGACUAUAACUGACCCUGAGGGACGAAAGCGUGGGUAGCAAACAGGAUUAGAUACCCUGGUAGUCCACGCCGUAAACGUUGUAUACUUGGUGUUGGAGGAUUUGACCCCUUCGGUGCCGUAGCUAACGCGUUAAGUAUACCGCCUGGGGAGUACGGUCGCAAGAUUAAAACUCAAAGGAAUUGACGGGGACCCGCACAAGCGGUGGAGCAUGUGGCUUAAUUCGAGGCAACGCGAAGAACCUUACCUAGGUUUGACAUUGCGUGACCGCUGUAGAAAUACAGUUUUCCUUCGGGACACAAAAACAGGUGCUGCAUGGCUGUCGUCAGCUCGUGUCGUGAGAUGUUCGGUUAAGUCCGGCAACGAGCGCAACCCGUGUUGUCAGUUGCUACCAGGUAAUGCUGGGCACUCUGGCGAGACUGCCCGUGUUAAGCGGGAGGAAGGCGCGGACGACGUCAAGUCCGUAUGGCCCUUACACCUAGGGCUGCACACGUGCUACAAUGGGCGUUACAGAGGGCAGCGAAGUCGCGAGGCUAAGCGAAUCCCGAAAAGCGUCCCCAGUUCGGAUAGGAGUCUGCAACUCGACUCCUUGAAGCCGGAAUCGCCAGUAAAGGCGUAUCAGCAACGACGCCUUGAAUACGUUCCCGGGUCUUGUACACACCGCCCGUCACAUCAUGGAAGCUUAUUGCACCCGAAGUCACUGACUCAACCCGUCUAGGGAGAGAGGUGCCGAAGGUGUGGUCAGUAACUGGGAUGAAGUCGUAACAAGGUA